This 400-nucleotide ribosomal RNA is filed under the name Plestiodon laticeps. RNAcentral's name for it is "partial 12S ribosomal RNA". It matches the Rfam family "Bacterial small subunit ribosomal RNA", at positions 794 to 1400 of the family's 1533-position model. Lineage: Eukaryota; Metazoa; Chordata; Lepidosauria; Squamata; Scincidae. The record is from RNAcentral.
GCUUAGCCAUAAACCAAGGUAGUACGAACACAACACUACCCGCCAGAGAACUACAAGUGAAAAACUUAAAACUCCAAGGACUUGGCGGUGCCCCACAUCAACCUAGAGGAGCCUGUCCUAUAAUCGAUAAUCCACGCUUCACCCAACCAUCUUUUGCCCUCAGCCUAUAUACCGCCGUCGUCAACCUACCCUAUGAAAGAAGCAAAGUGGGUAAAACAGUUAUUAACUAACACGUCAGGUCAAGGUGUAGCACAUAAGAUGGAAGAGAUGGGCUACAUUUUCUACCACAGAAAACACGAACAGAUCAAUGAAACUUGAACUAAAAGGCGGAUUUAGAAGUCAGACAAGCCAGCAUUCUUGUCUUAAACUAGCUCUGGGGCGCGCACACACCGCCCGUCAC